GAUGAAGAACGUAGCGAAAUGCGAUAAGUAAUGUGAAUUGCAGAAUUCCGUGAAUCAUCGAAUCUUUGAACGCACAUUGCGCCCCCUGGUAUUCCGGGGGGCAUGCCUGUCCGAGCGUCAUUGCAACCUUCAAGCGCGGCUUGUGUGUUGGGUCUCGUCCCCCGUGGACGGGCCCGAAAGGCAGUGGCGGCGUCCCGACAUGGUGCCCGAGCGUAUGGGAAUCCUCUUCCGCUCGAAUCGGCCCAUGCGGCGCUGGUCGUAACCAAAUUUUUUACCGGUUGACCUCGGAUCAGGUAGGGAUACCCGCUGAACUUAAGCAUAUCAAUAGCGGAGGA
This 335-nucleotide unclassified non-coding RNA is filed under the name soil metagenome. RNAcentral's name for it is "partial contains 5.8S ribosomal RNA, internal transcribed spacer 2, and large subunit ribosomal RNA". The stretch from base 1 to 120 matches the Rfam family "5.8S ribosomal RNA", at positions 35 to 154 of the family's 154-position model. The record is from RNAcentral.